GCCUUUGGCUUCAGAGGACACAGCUUUCCCUUCUCCUUCCUAUCCCCACUCUCUGAGCCCCUCUUGGAUACCUGGUGUGCUGAGUGCUGGGGACCCAGGAGAGUGUGCUGCCAAGAGGGGACACAGGUACCUGCUGAGUCUUCCCAAGUCGUCACCACAGGCUCGGCCAGGCCAGCAUGGUGGACCACUUGCUUCCAGUGGACGAGACCUUCUCGUCACCGAAAUGCCCAGUGGGAUACCUGGGAGAUAGGCUGGCCAGCCGGCAGCCAUACCACAUGUUGCCCUCGCCCAUCUCCGAGGAUGACAGCGAUGUCUCCAGCCCCUGCUCUUGUGCCAGCCCUGACUCGCAAGCCUUCUGUUCCUGCUAUAGUGCAGGUCCGGGCCCUGAGGCCCAGGGCAGCAUCUUGGAUUUCCUCCUAUCCCGGGCCACACUGGGCAGUGGUGGUGCCAGUGGAGGUGUCGGAGAUGGCAGUGGCCCUGUGACCUGGGGAUCGUGGAGGAGAGCCUCUGUGCCUGUGAAGGAGGAACAUCUUUGCUUCCCUGAAUUUCUGUCAGGGGACCCUGAUGAUGUCUCCAGGCCCUUCCAGCCUACCCUGGAGGAGAUUGAAGAAUUCUUGGAAGAGAACAUGGAGGCUGAGGUCAAGGAGGCCCCAGAGAGCAGCAGCAGG
Molecule: long non-coding RNA, 668 nt
Filed under: Rattus norvegicus (Norway rat)
Lineage: Eukaryota; Metazoa; Chordata; Mammalia; Rodentia; Muridae
Description: long non-coding RNA NONRATT020717
Source: RNAcentral